This 497-nucleotide ribosomal RNA is filed under the name uncultured bacterium. RNAcentral's name for it is "partial 16S ribosomal RNA". It matches the Rfam family "Bacterial small subunit ribosomal RNA", at positions 28 to 523 of the family's 1533-position model. The record is from RNAcentral.
GAUGAACGCUAGCGGGAGGCCUAACACAUGCAAGUCGAACGCGAAAGUCCUUCGGGAUGAGUAGAGUGGCGGACGGGUGAGUAACGCGUAGGAAUCUAUCCUGUAGUGGGGGAUAACGUUUCGAAAGGAACGCUAAUACCGCAUACGCCCCACGGGGGAAAGCGGGGGAUCUUCGGACCUCGUGCUGUAGGAGGAGCCUGCGUCGGAUUAGCUAGUUGGUGAGGUAAAGGCUCACCAAGGCGACGAUCCGUAGCUGGUCUGAGAGGAUGAUCAGCCACACCGGAACUGAGACACGGUCCGGACUCCUACGGGAGGCAGCAGUGGGGAAUAUUGCGCAAUGGGCGAAAGCCUGACGCAGCCAUACCGCGUGUGUGAAGAAGGCCUUCGGGUUGUAAAGCACUUUCAGUGGGGAGGAAAAGCUGGUGGCUAAUAUCCAUCGGCCGUGACGCUACCCACAGAAGAAGCACCGGCUAAUUCCGUGCCAGCCGCCGCAGUAA